UCAAGACUAAGGUUUCCUGAACAACGCUAAUCGUAUCAGGGUUAGUCGGGACCUAAGGAUAAGGCGAGAGCCGAUUUCGAUGGCAAACAGGUUAUAUUCCUGUACCGGCUGUUACUGCGAUGGGGCGACGGAGCGGCGUAAGUGCUGCGCAGUUACGGAAUACUGCGUUGAAGACAGGUAGGCGUUGAUAGGGGUAGGCAAAUCCGCCCUUUGAGCUGAUCGUCGAUAGUACCGUGUAGCAUGUUGUUACACGGAUAAUGCACCCAAGCGAACUUCCAAGAAAACCCUCUAAGCAUCAGGUAACAGGCGCUCGUACCGUAAACCGACACAGGUAGUCGAGGAGAAUAUCCUAAGGUGCUCGAGUGAUUCAUGGCUAAGGAACUCGGCAAAUUGAUCUCGUAACUUCGGGAUAAGAGAUGCCUACUUCUAUGAUUUAUUAUAGGAGAGGCCGCAGAGCAUAGGCCCAGGCGACUGUUUAGCAAAAACACAGGACUCUGCAAAUUCGAGAGAAUACGUAUAGGGUCUGACACCUGCCCGGUGCCGGAAGGUUAAGGAAGGAGGUUAGUCGCAAGGCGAAGCUUUUGACUGAAGCCCCGGUAAACGGCGGCCGUAACAAUAACGGUCCUAAGGUAGCGAAAUUCCUUGUCGGGUAAGUUCCGACCUGCACGAAUGGUGUAACGAUCUGGGCACUGUCUCGGCCAUGAGCUCGGUGAAAUUGUAGCAUCGGUGAAGAUGCCGAUUACCCGCAACGGGACGGAAAGACCCCGUGAACCUUCACUAUAGCUUUGCAUUGUAAUUGAGUCAAUAAUGUGUAGGAUAGGUGGGAGGCUUUGAAGCAGGUACGCUAGUAUUUGUGGAGCCGUUGUUGAAAUACCACCCUUUGUUUAUUUAGUUACUAACUCUGAUGGAGGACAGUGCAUGGUGGGUAGUUUGACUGGGGCGGUCGCCUCCUAAAAAGUAACGGAGGCUCCCAAAGGUACCCUCAAAACGGUUGGUAAUCGUUUGUAGCGUGUGUUAGCAUAAGGGUGCUUGACUGCGAGACAGACAAGUCGAGCAGGUACGAAAGUAGGGUAAAGUGAUCCGGUGGUUCCGCAUGGAAGGGCCAUCGCUCAAAGGAUAAAAGGUACUCCGGGGAUAACAGGCUGAUCUCCCCCAAGAGCUCAUAUCGACGGGGAGGUUUGGCACCUCGAUGUCGGCUCGUCGCAUCCUGGGGCUGGAGAAGGUCCUAAGGGUUGGGCUGUUCGCCCAUUAAAGCGGCACGCGAGCUGGGUUCAGAACGUCGCAAGACAGUUCGGUCCCUAUCUGUUGCGGGCGUUAGAAAUUUGAGGAGAGCUGACAUUAGUACGAGAGGACCGUGUCGGACGAACCUCCAGUGUACCGGUUAUGUCGCCAGAUGUACCGCCGGGUAGCUGUGUUCGGAACGGAUAAGCGCUGAAAGCAUCUAAGCGCGAAGCCAACUCCAAGAUGAGAUUUCUGAUUAAGGGUCGUGGGAGAUGACCACGUUGAUAGGCGGU
Molecule: ribosomal RNA, 1514 nt
Filed under: metagenome
Description: bacterial LSU rRNA
Rfam family: Bacterial large subunit ribosomal RNA
Source: RNAcentral